This 350-nucleotide ribosomal RNA is filed under the name Escherichia coli. RNAcentral describes it as "bacterial SSU rRNA". It matches the Rfam family "Bacterial small subunit ribosomal RNA", at positions 1 to 347 of the family's 1533-position model. The record is from RNAcentral. Lineage: Bacteria; Pseudomonadati; Pseudomonadota; Gammaproteobacteria; Enterobacterales; Enterobacteriaceae.
AAAUUGAAGAGUUUGAUCAUGGCUCAGAUUGAACGCUGGCGGCAGGCCUAACACAUGCAAGUCGAACGGUAACAGGAAGCAGCUUGCUGCUUCGCUGACGAGUGGCGGACGGGUGAGUAAUGUCUGGGAAACUGCCUGAUGGAGGGGGAUAACUACUGGAAACGGUAGCUAAUACCGCAUAAUGUCGCAAGACCAAAGAGGGGGACCUUCGGGCCUCUUGCCAUCGGAUGUGCCCAGAUGGGAUUAGCUAGUAGGUGGGGUAACGGCUCACCUAGGCGACGAUCCCUAGCUGGUCUGAGAGGAUGACCAGCCACACUGGAACUGAGACACGGUCCAGACUCCUACGGGAG